RNAcentral lists this ribosomal RNA (253 nucleotides) under uncultured bacterium. Its description in RNAcentral is "partial 16S ribosomal RNA". It matches the Rfam family "Bacterial small subunit ribosomal RNA", at positions 524 to 776 of the family's 1533-position model. RNAcentral also lists the same sequence under 1 other name. The record is from RNAcentral.
UACGGAGGGGGCGAGCGUUAUUCGGAAUUAUUGGGCGUAAAGGGCGCGUAGGCGGCGCGAUAAGUCAAAGGUGAAAUCCCUCGGCUCAACUGAGGAACUGCCUUUGAAACUGUCGUGCUUGAGGCCGGGAGGGGGUAGCGGAAUUCCCAGUGUAGCGGUGAAAUGCGUAGAUAUUGGGAGGAACACCAGUGGCGAAGGCGGCUACCUGGACCGGUUCUGACGCUGAUGCGCGAAAGCGUGGGUAGCAAACAGG